UACGGAGGGGGCUAGCGUUGUUCGGAAUUACUGGGCGUAAAGCGCACGUAGGCGGCUUUGUAAGUUAGAGGUGAAAGCCCAGGGCUCAACCCUGGAAUUGCCUUUAAGACUGCAUCGCUUGAACAUCGGAGAGGUAAGUGGAAUUCCGAGUGUAGAGGUGAAAUUCGUAGGUAUUCGGAAGAACACCAGUGGCGAAGGCGACUUACUGGACGAUUGUUGACGCUGAGGUGCGAAAGCGUGGGGAGCAAACAGG
This 253-nucleotide ribosomal RNA is filed under the name uncultured bacterium. Its description in RNAcentral is "partial 16S ribosomal RNA". It matches the Rfam family "Bacterial small subunit ribosomal RNA", at positions 524 to 776 of the family's 1533-position model. The record is from RNAcentral.